RNAcentral lists this ribosomal RNA (999 nucleotides) under Polystoma sp. OV-2007. Its description in RNAcentral is "eukaryotic LSU rRNA". It matches the Rfam family "Eukaryotic large subunit ribosomal RNA", at positions 41 to 648 of the family's 3401-position model. Lineage: Eukaryota; Metazoa; Platyhelminthes; Monogenea; Polystomatidea; Polystomatidae. The record is from RNAcentral.
UAUCACUAAGCGGAGGAAAAGAAACUAACCAGGAUUCCCCUAGUAACGGCGAGUGAACGGGGAUCAGCCCAGCACCGAAGCCUGCAUCCGUUUGGGUGUAAGGCAAUGUGGUGUUUAGGUGAUCACAUGUUGAUUCCUCUACUGUCCCAAGUCCAGUAAUGAAUAUGGCUAUAUUAAUGGCCCAGAGAGGGUGAAAGGCCCGUGGGGGCAGUAUUUGCAGGUUUUGACUUGUGGUCUCCUUGGAGUCGGGUUGUUUGUGAAUGCAGCCCAAAUUGGGUGGUAGACUCCAUCUAAGGCUAAAUAUUUACACGAGUCCGAUAGCGAACAAGUACCGUGAGGGAAAGUUGAAAAGAACUCUGAAGAGAGAGUAAACAGUACGUGAAACCGCUUAGAGGUAAACGGGUGUAGUCAAGCUGCAAGCCCUUUGGGGAUUCAGUCGAUCAGUAUGACGUGAGCAUGAGCACAUUAGUUGGCUUGUAAAGUUUGCCUAAACUGGUAAGCCUAAUUCUGUAUGGGAUUAGGUUUUUGUGUAACAUAUGGUUAUUGAAUGCUUUACUUGAUCCAACUACUGAUCGGUGCAAUUCCUCAGGGUGUAAGCCACGACCGCCGUUGCUGUCGGUCUGCUGAAAUCAACUGAUUCAAUUAAAUUGUAAAACAGUUUAAUUGGAUUGGGAUGGCAGGUUAUUUGAUGUUGUAUGUCUCUUGUAGGCAUUGCAAUGUUAAGUGUUAUAGCCGAUUUCAGUGGCUAUUAAAACUGUGCAGUACGGUGGAGAUGUAUCGACGUGUUGGUAAUGGUAAAUGUGCUAUAGUCUGCCGGCGUAUAAUAAAUUUGAUUAUUUGUUGUUGAGGCUAUGUCUUCGACCUGAUAAUAGUUUAUUUACGGUGUUGUAGGCGGUUGCAUUUACUGACCAUUCUAUUGACUAUAUGAAUUUACGUUUGUAUGGUUGAUGGAAAUUAUCGUCAAUAGUCUGUGGCGUAGUGGUAGACGAUCCACCCGAC